CAGUCGCCGCGGUAAUACAGAGGGUGCAAGCGUUAAUCGGAAUUACUGGGCGUAAAGCGUGCGCAGGCGGUUAUAUAAGACAGAUGUGAAAUCCCCGGGCUCAACCUGGGAACUGCAUUUGUGACUGUAUAGCUAGAGUACGGCAGAGGGGGAUGGAAUUCCGCGUGUAGCAGUGAAAUGCGUAGAUAUGCGGAGGAACACCGAUGGCGAAGGCAAUCCCCUGGGCCUGUACUGACGCUCAUGCACGAAAGCGUGGGGAGCAAACAGGAUUAGAUACCCCAGUAGUCCCUGUCUCUUAUAU
RNAcentral lists this ribosomal RNA (301 nucleotides) under uncultured bacterium. Its description in RNAcentral is "partial 16S ribosomal RNA". It matches the Rfam family "Bacterial small subunit ribosomal RNA", at positions 509 to 809 of the family's 1533-position model. The record is from RNAcentral.